This is a long non-coding RNA of Capra hircus (goat), 1509 nucleotides long. RefSeq lists it as uncharacterized. Lineage: Eukaryota; Metazoa; Chordata; Mammalia; Artiodactyla; Bovidae. The record is from RefSeq and is a predicted model, not a curated record. The transcript has 3 exons.
GCUCAGGCGGCCGCGCGGGGGGCGCCGUGCGCGGCUGGGCCCGCGGCUGGGGCGCGGGGCGGGUGGUGUGUCACGUGCCCGGCGGUCGUUCCACCGCCUCUGCCGCCGCCCCCCUCCUCUGCCUGCUCCAUCGCCCCACCCGGAGGCCAUCGGGGCGCUCCGGGCGGCGCCGAGGCUGUGGUCCCUCCGGAGGCGUCUUUGGGAAACGCUGGGCAGCCUCCGCUGGCAUGCCGGAUCUUAGUUCCCUGACCAGGGAUCGAACCCAUGCCCCUUGCAGUGGAAGCUUGGAGUCUUAACCACUGGACCGCCAAAGAAGUCUCUCAGCUGCUGACUGUGAUGAUAAAAGACCGCGCACAGACCACAACAGGAACCAUCCUCUGGGGUUCUGGCAGCUCCAGUGCCCUCGGCUCGUGGAUCAUGAAACCAAGGCCGGCACACGGUAGGGGCUGAGCUGAGGCCCACAGCAGCCUUUCCUGACCUCCGCACCUGGCCAGGCUCUCCCAUCGCCUGAGCCUCGUCUCUUCCACCACCAGAUGGGAAGCCCUGAAGAAGGUUCCGCCCCAUCCGAGGCCCGUCACACAGUGCCUGGCACACAGUAGGUGCUCAGCAAACAUGGGGAGGUGAGUGUGACAUCAGCUAGCAGUGUUUCCUGAACACCUAAUUUGAGGCUCCCCACUUGUGGAGUGUUUCCUGACACCCUGGCCUGCUCCCCAGAACCCCAGAACUGCCGCCUCUCGAGAACUCCUGCUGGUCCCACCCCAGGUCAGCACUUGAGAGCCUGCUUUGUGUAAGACGAAGGCCCUGGCACCCGUGUGAUGAAGCUGGCAUCACUGUGUGAUGAACGGGUGUGGUGGGUACACACUGCCUGCUCUCGCUGGAGCCCGUGCCUCUGGCCAUGGGUCUCUCCUGAAGGGCCCAGGAAACCAUGAAAUCCAGGCUCGGGGCCUCCUCCCCUCAAAGCUGGGCUGACCCUCCCAGCCAGCAGAAGAGACCAAAGAUCAUAGUGGUGACACUGGGCUGCCACUCUGCCCCUGAGCAUCAGGGCUGGGAUCUGAACCCAGAUGUUUCUAACUCCAGAGCCCAACCCUUAAGCCCAUAGCGUGCCGUCUCCUCCCAGGGACCCUGGAGAGGCCAAGGACAGUAGGAUCUGCCUACUUGCUCCCAGCAUACUACCGAGGGGCGGAAACCAUACCACAGGCUACGUUGCAUACCCUUGCUGUUUGCACGGGCCUCGGGCCCUGAAGGAAAUCACUCUUGGCAGGAGCGCCUCCCGAGGGGGAGCUGCCGUGUGGGCAGAGUCAGAGCCGGGACCUCUUGGAGCCAGUCCUCUCUGCUGAUCCAAAACACAGGGCCAAACAACCUCACGCAACGUCCUGAGGCAGCACUGACUCAGUCAACAAGCACUUACAGGCCGCCAACUGUUUACAAGGCCAUGGAGAUGAGUAGUUGACCCUUGCUGGGCUAGUGAGGAGGGUAUGUGUGUGCGCGCUCAGUCGUGUUUGACUCUUU